CACACUGUUGGAUUUUGGCUGUGGCAUUUUGUGUCUGUUUUGGCCCCUCAUUAUCACAUCAAUGUAUGCAACCACUCACUUGCACCAUUGUUACUUGUUUAUAGGUUACUUUAGUUAAUAAAUAUAUUUUGUUAUUCCUUGAGCUCCACGUUGUCUCCUUUUUUAGGAGCCUGUUCGUGACAAGUGGGGGCUCAUCUGGGAUUAUAAGGAUGUCGGUGGGCGGAGCCGUCGUCAGCGAAAUGUGACACAACUGGGCCCGGGUGUGUCCUGGGGAUAAAUGCACCUUUUCCCCCAUUCAUUGAGGAGUCUCCACACAGACACUGUUGGAUUUUGAUUGUGGCAUUUUGUAGCUGUUUGCUUUGGCCCCUCAACACCCCUCAUUAUCACAUCAAUGUAUGCAACCACUCACUUACAAUACACCAUUGUUACUUGUUUAUAGUUUACUUUAGUUAAUAAAUAUAUUUGUUAUUCCUUGA
Molecule: long non-coding RNA, 476 nt
Organism: Salvelinus sp. IW2-2015
Lineage: Eukaryota; Metazoa; Chordata; Actinopteri; Salmoniformes; Salmonidae
Source: RefSeq, a predicted model, not a curated record